UGUUGAAGCUGCUCUGCCCUUUCUUUUUUUUUUUUUUUUAAAGGCUCCCCACGGCCCAUGUAAAAGUGUCCUUACCUGCUGUCUUGCCAGAAGCUGGCAAGAUGAGGAGUCUUGCUGCCCACCAGCUUGCCCAGGCCAGGCACUGAGGCCUGAGGUUGUCCCCUGGUCCCCAUCCCUGCAUCAGGUGGUGGAGAGGUGAUGGCUUUCAUCCCAAAACUCCCAGUGGCUACUGCCCGCUAAUGCCCACAGCCUGCGGUGGGAGCAGCCUGCCUGCCAGAUUUUCCCCACUUCCCUGAGAUAUAAUGUACGGUUUUCUUACCUCGAGGUGUAAUUUCGUGUUGCCUUUUCUUCCCCUUCAGGGAAGGGCUCACUAGAUGGCACUGUGUCACUGUGGGACAAGUCACCUCCAUCUGCUUCUAGGCAGUCUGUAUCAUUGAGCAGGGAGAAUGGAGUCAUCUUCGUUCUCUGCUGAUCUGUGACACGAGUAGAGCACACUUAUGGACUCUUGGUGACAUAUACAUCUGCUACAAAAAGGAGACAUUAAUCAUCACUUCGUUGAGGUACAGGGAAAGUGUGGGCCUGCAAAGGCGUGUGCAGAAGCAGCCAUCUCCAGAGAGGCAGCUGUGAAGAAGGAAGUCUUAAGCACCAGCUUAGAGGUGAGUCUAAUGUAUUUCAUAGGAUUUUUAUCUGUGGACACUUUCCUCUGAAAGGGUUUAAUUUCACAAAUGCAAAGGUGGGGAUUUGGGAGUAGCUGAACUGAAAACAUCCAAGGUGUUGGAUAGAGGGAUUCAUUGCUUUUCUUCACUUAAUUGGGAACAAAGACUGGAAGGCCUUUCUCAUUCCAGGGAGGUACCAUAGCCAUGGAUGAUUCUUCCCACCCCCUUUACUAGGACAUUUGCCUCUUAGAUUUUUGUUUGCUUAGGGCUUAGCUGUGGUGUAA
Molecule: long non-coding RNA, 940 nt
Filed under: Numida meleagris (helmeted guineafowl)
Lineage: Eukaryota; Metazoa; Chordata; Aves; Galliformes; Numididae
Description: lncRNA (ENSNMEG00000022026.1)
Source: RNAcentral